AAGCGUAUAUUAAAGUUGUUGCGGUUAAAAAGCUCGUAGUUGGAUCUGCGUCUUAGGCUAGUGGUCCCCCAGCGGGUGGUUACUGCUAUGCCUGGACUAAUCUCUCUGGUUUUCCCUUGGUGCUCUUUACUGAGUGUCUUGGGUGGCUGGAACAUUUACUUUGAAAAAAUUAGAGUGCUUAAAGCAAGCAGUUAGCUUGAAUAGUGGUGCAUGGAAUAAUGGAAUAGGACUUCGGUUCUAUUUUGUUGGUUUUCGGAACUCGAGGUAAUGAUUAAGAGGGACAGACGGGGGCAUUCGUAUUGCGACGUU
RNAcentral lists this ribosomal RNA (309 nucleotides) under Anticomidae environmental sample. RNAcentral's name for it is "SSU rRNA". It matches the Rfam family "Eukaryotic small subunit ribosomal RNA", at positions 595 to 906 of the family's 1831-position model. Lineage: Eukaryota; Metazoa; Nematoda; Enoplea; Enoplida; Anticomidae. The record is from RNAcentral.